AUCGCUUCUCGGCCUCUUGGCUAAGAUCAAGUGUAGGUUAUGUAUUCAUGUUUUUCAUAUUUUCAGUCCAUGCUCUCUUUGAUGAAUAUAAAAAUGCCAUAUCUUUUAAUAUUAUUUUAAAAUU
Small nuclear RNA from Heterocephalus glaber (naked mole-rat), 124 nucleotides. Its record names the gene U2. It matches the Rfam family "U2 spliceosomal RNA". From Rfam's summary of the family: U2 is a small nuclear RNA (snRNA) component of the spliceosome (involved in pre-mRNA splicing). Complementary binding between U2 snRNA (in an area lying towards the 5' end but 3' to hairpin I) and the branchpoint sequence (BPS) of the intron results the bulging out of an unpaired adenosine, on the BPS, which initiates a nucleophilic attack at the intronic 5' splice site, thus starting the first of two transesterification reactions that mediate splicing. The record is from Ensembl. NCBI's taxonomy places the organism in Eukaryota, Metazoa, Chordata, Mammalia, Rodentia, Bathyergidae.